GAUGAAGAACGUAGUGAAAUGCGAUAAUUAAUGUGAAUUGCAGAAUUCAGUGAAUCAUCGAGUCUUUGAACGCACAUUGCGCCCCCUGGUAUUCCGGGGGGCAUGCCUGUCCGAGCGUCAUUGCUGCCCUCAAGCACGGCUUGUGUGUUGGGCUUCCGUCCGUGGCAACGGGGACGGGCCCAAAAGGCAGUGGCGGCACCAUGUCUGGUCCUCGAGCGUAUGGGGCUUUGUCACCCGCUCCCGUAGGUCCAGCUGGCAGCUAGCCUCGCAACCAAUCUUUUUAACCAGGUUGACCUCGGAUCAGGUAGGGAUACCCGCUGAACUUAAGCAUAUCAAUAAGCGGAGGA
This 347-nucleotide unclassified non-coding RNA is filed under the name soil metagenome. Its description in RNAcentral is "partial contains 5.8S ribosomal RNA, internal transcribed spacer 2, and large subunit ribosomal RNA". The stretch from base 1 to 120 matches the Rfam family "5.8S ribosomal RNA", at positions 35 to 154 of the family's 154-position model. The record is from RNAcentral.